RNAcentral lists this unclassified non-coding RNA (257 nucleotides) under plant metagenome. RNAcentral's name for it is "partial contains small subunit ribosomal RNA and internal transcribed spacer 1". The record is from RNAcentral.
AAGUCGUUAACAAGGGUUUUCCGUAGGUGAACCUGCGGAAGGAUCAUUAUUGAGAUAGUCAGCAAGCCUAUUAGGUCACCCAAACGCUUUGAAAGUGUUAGCGGAAUGGGCAGUAAUACAAUCGGCAUGACCGUUUGAAUCCAAGGGCAGCUAUCCACCCGUGUAUAUAUACUCUGUUGCUUUCCGGGCGUCAUACCCCGGAGAGAACCCAACUUUGAAUUUUAUGGAACGUCUGAGUACUAUAUAAUAGUCAAAAU